This 253-nucleotide ribosomal RNA is filed under the name uncultured bacterium. RNAcentral describes it as "partial 16S ribosomal RNA". It matches the Rfam family "Bacterial small subunit ribosomal RNA", at positions 524 to 776 of the family's 1533-position model. The record is from RNAcentral.
UACGGAGGGGGUUAGCGUUGUUCGGAAUGACUGGGCGUAAAGCGCGCGUAGGCGGAUCGGAAAGUCGGGGGUGAAAUCCCGGGGCUCAACCCCGGAAUGGCCUUCGAAACUCCCGGUCUUGAGUUCGAGAGAGGUGAGUGGAAUUCCGAGUGUAGAGGUGAAAUUCGUAGAUAUUCGGAGGAACACCAGUGGCGAAGGCGGCUCACUGGCUCGACACUGACGCUGAGGCACGAAAGCGUGGGGAGCAAACAGG